CCCACGACGACGAAUCAUUCACGUGUUUUUCGCCCGAACUUUUAAAUGAUAAUGUGUGCCAAUCACUGAGAAACUCAUCACUAAGCAAUUCGAAAAUGAAGAGAGCUAUCCGUCGACAGUAUAUAUUUUACACUGUCAUGGAGUUGCUCUCUUUAUGAACGGAUUCAAAAUCGUCGAGGGAUUUUCCAACUUAUCAAGCGUCGGGGAGGUCAUUCAGUAUCAGAAGGGCACUGCAGCGACCUUUUUUUUCAUGCCUAAUUUUUAACAUAAAGGUAUUUUCCAAUGCUGUUAUUUCAGUUCAUGGCAUUAUUGCAUUGAGUCAAGGACACUUGUGUCAAGUAAACAAAUGAUAAACUACGAAAAAUUAUAACAUGGCAUAUAUAAAAUGCCAAUGUAAUAAAAAACGUUAUGCAAUAUUAGAUUAUGACAUGCACUGCUUCUUCAAUCUAUAAAUAUGCUCAGAAUUAGUAACCCCACAAUUAUUCGUAUCGAUAUUCUCGUUUUAAAGUGGGUGUUAUUUCAACACAACUAUUCUUUGCUUUUUAUGUUCAUAAAAUUCAUAAUCUUCAUUAUUUCUCAUUAAUUUUUAAGCAUCUACCUGUAAUAAAAGCUUGUUAUACAUUAAGUUUGUUUUCAGUUUGGAGUUCGUUACGUUCUUAUCGAAUUUUAAUACACUGUGUCCGUAUUUUUUGUUUCAUCAGGUCCGAUUCUUGAAGAUCUUCUAGAGAGUUCAGUUCAAAUUCAUGGUAACUGCUGCAUAGCUACAAAGAUUUUUUUAAAUAUUUCCGAAUAGAUAAUAAAAGUCAAAGGGAAUCAGUCAUUUCAUACGGUAAUGUAAGAACAACUCGUGCGAACGAUUUUCAUUUGACACAUUUGUAUUAUCCUACAGAAAACAUUUUUUCUUUUUGAUUCACGUGAUUUUUUUCACGAACAUUGAAAUUUUUUUAAUUACUGCUUGUGACUGAGCUCUGAAUACGAAUACAUUUCCUCUUAAAGUACGAGAAACUGAAAAUCUAACAAAGCACGUUUUUAGGAACAAUGAAUCAUUGUAUUACAUUUGUUUUAGAAGUUAUUUGAUUUUUGGUCUGAACUUUGUCAAUAAAUAAAUAGAAAUACAAUUGCAUUCUCUAUAGAACGAUACUACAGCUCGGAGAAAUUUGAUUAGCAUGUAUUUUUUGUCAGUUAUUAGCAAAUGCGACUCUUGUAUUUCAGGCAAAUUCGUCGUACCUAACCCUACAUGUAGUGUGGAAUAUAUUUUUAUAUGAAAUAUUCACACUUUAAUAACUUGGGUUAAUUUAUAGACGACCUUAAACAUCUCCAACUGUGUUGAAAUGUUGCAGUCGUGACUUACAAAUUUGUAUGAAAAUUGACUAAUAAAAAUUUUGUUCAUUAACGUUAACAUAUUUUUUUAACCACCAAUGUAUUCUAACACUCGGUGCAGUUUUAUACGUGUCCGAGAAUACGUGACGCUUUUUUAAUUAGUAGUUAGAACAAAUUACUUCAUAGAUCGGGUUGAUAGUUUGUAACCACAAAUGAAAUAAAAAUAAUAAAUAAAUAUAACUCGUUAAAAAUUUUA
This is a long non-coding RNA of Zophobas morio, 1576 nucleotides long. RefSeq lists it as uncharacterized. The record is from RefSeq and is a predicted model, not a curated record. NCBI's taxonomy places the organism in Eukaryota, Metazoa, Arthropoda, Insecta, Coleoptera, Tenebrionidae. The transcript is spliced from 2 exons.